UAGGGAAUCUUCGGCAAUGGGCGAAAGCCUGACCGAGCAACGCCGCGUGAAUGAUGAAGGCCUUAGGGUUGUAAAAUUCUGUUAUAAGGGAAGAACGACUUUAGUAGGAAAUGGCUAGAGUGUGACGGUACCUUAUGAGAAAGCCACGGCUAACUACGUGCCAGCAGCCGCGGUAAUACGUAGGUGGCGAGCGUUAUCCGGAAUUAUUGGGCGUAAAGAGCGCGCAGGUGGUUGAUUAAGUCUGAUGUGAAAGCCCACGGCUUAACCGUGGAGGGUCAUUGGAAACUGGUCAACUUUAGUGCAGAAGAGGGAAGUGGAAUUCCAUGUGUAGCGGUGAAAUGCUUAGAGAUAUGGUGGAACACCAGUGGCGAAGGCGGCUUCCUGGUCUGUAACUGACACUGAGGCGCGAAAGCGUGGGGAGCAAACA
This 427-nucleotide ribosomal RNA is filed under the name uncultured prokaryote. RNAcentral describes it as "bacterial SSU rRNA". It matches the Rfam family "Bacterial small subunit ribosomal RNA", at positions 355 to 774 of the family's 1533-position model. The record is from RNAcentral.